UGGGGAAUAUUGGACAAUGGGCGAAAGCCUGAUCCAGCCAUGCCGCGUGUGUGAAGAAGGUCUUCGGAUUGUAACGCACUUUAAGUUGGGAGGAAGGGCAGUAAGCGAAUACCUUGCUGUUUUGACGUUACCGACAGAAUAAGCACCGGCUAACUCUGUGCCAGCAGCCGCGGUAAUACAGAGGGUGCAAGCGUUAAUCGGAAUUACUGGGCGUAAAGCGCGCGUAGGUGGUUCGUUAAGUUGAAUGUGAAAGCCCCGGGCUCGACCUGGGAACUGCAUCCAAAACUGGCGAGCUGGAGUAGGGCAGAGGGUGGUGGAAUUUCCUGUGUAGCGGUGAAAUGCGUAGAUAUAGGAAGGAACACCAGUGGCGAAGGCGACCACCUGGGCUCAUACUGACACUGAGGUGCGAAAGCGUGGGGAGCAAACAGG
Molecule: ribosomal RNA, 429 nt
Filed under: Pseudomonadota bacterium
Lineage: Bacteria; Pseudomonadati; Pseudomonadota
Description: Proteobacteria bacterium partial 16S ribosomal RNA
Rfam family: Bacterial small subunit ribosomal RNA
Source: RNAcentral